ACCCACGAUACAUCUUACCAUUUCUUGUAUAUUAUUCUUUUACAGGUGUUGCAUGGCUGUUUUUAGUUCGUGUUGUGAAACGUUAGGUUCAUUCCGCUAACGAACGCAAUCCUUGUCUUUAGUUAAAUAACUAAGGAAGUAUCCUUCCAGAAGAAGGAAUAAUUAGGAUGAAGACAAGUCCUCAUGACCCUUAUGAAAUGGGCUACAGACGUGCCACAAAGAUUUCUACAAAAGGGAGCAAAGAUAUACCCAAGUCAGAGCUAAUCCUUAAAAGAA
This 276-nucleotide ribosomal RNA is filed under the name Pneumocystis sp. L13. Its description in RNAcentral is "partial small subunit ribosomal RNA". It matches the Rfam family "Bacterial small subunit ribosomal RNA", at positions 957 to 1284 of the family's 1533-position model. The record is from RNAcentral. Lineage: Eukaryota; Fungi; Ascomycota; Pneumocystomycetes; Pneumocystales; Pneumocystaceae.